This 800-nucleotide ribosomal RNA is filed under the name uncultured Bacillota bacterium. Its description in RNAcentral is "bacterial SSU rRNA". It matches the Rfam family "Bacterial small subunit ribosomal RNA", at positions 74 to 852 of the family's 1533-position model. Lineage: Bacteria; Bacillati; Bacillota. The record is from RNAcentral.
CGGGCUUCGGUCCGAUGAGUAGAGUGGCGAACGGGUGAGUAACGCGUGGGCAAUCUACCCUUAAGUGGGGAAUAACCAUUCUAACGAGUGGCUAAUUCCGCAUGUGUCCGUUUUGUCGCAUGGCAAGACGGGUAAAGCUGGGGAUCUUCGGACCUGGCGCUCAAGGAGGAGCCCGCGUCCCAUUAGCUAGUUGGCGAGGUAACGGCUCACCAAGGCGACGAUGGGUAGCCGAUCUGAGAGGAUGACCGGCCACACUGGGACUGAGAUACGGCCCAGACUCCUACGGGAGGCAGCAGUCGAGAGGCUUCGGCAAUGGGGGAAACCCUGACCGAGCGACGCCGCGUGCGGGAUGACGGCCUUCGGGUUGUAAACCGCUGUCAGAAGGGAAGAAUCCUCCCGGGAUAAUACACCGGGAGUUGACGGUACCUUCAGAGGAAGCUCCGGCUAACUCCGUGCCAGCAGCCGCGGUAAUACGGAGGGAGCGAACGUUGUUCGGAUUUACUGGGCGUAAAGGGUGUGUAGGCGGUCUUGCAAGUCAGGGGUGAAAUCUCUCGGCUCAACCGAGAAACUGCCUUUGAGACUGCAGGACUUGAGGGCGUGAGAGGAGACUGGAAUUCCUAGUGUAGCGGUGAAAUGCAUAGAUAUUAGGAGGAACACCAGUGGCGAAGGCGAGUCUCUGGCACGCAUCUGACGCUGAAACACGAAAGCCAGGGGAGCGAACGGGAUUAGAUACCCCGGUAGUCCUGGCUGUAAACGUUGGGCACUAAGUGUUGGCCGAUCGACCCGGCCAGUGCUGCAGC